Molecule: ribosomal RNA, 460 nt
Filed under: uncultured bacterium
Lineage: Bacteria
Description: partial 16S ribosomal RNA
Rfam family: Bacterial small subunit ribosomal RNA
Source: RNAcentral
CCUACGGGCGGCAGCAGUGAGGAAUAUUGGUCAAUGGGCGCAAGCCUGAACCAGCCAAGUAGCGUGCAGGAUGAAUGCCCUACGGGUUGUAAACUGCUUUUGUACGGGGAUAAAGUGAGGCACGUGUGCCGUUCUGCAGGUACCUUGUGAAUAAGGAUCGGCUAACUCCGUGCCAGCAGCCGCGGUAAUACGGAGGAUCCGAGCGUUAUCCGGAUUUAUUGGGUUUAAAGGGAGCGUAGAUGGGUUGUUAAGUCAGUUGUGAAAGUUUGCGGCUUAACCGUAACAUUGCAGUUGAAACUGGACGCCUUGAGUACAGUACAGGCAGGCGGAAUUCGUGGUGUAGCGGUGAAAUGCAUAGAUAUCACGAAGAACCCCGAUUGCGAAGGCAGCCUACCAAACUGCCACUGACGCUGAGGCUCGAAAGUGCGGGUAUCAAACAGGAUUAGAUACCCUGGUAGUC